RNAcentral lists this ribosomal RNA (253 nucleotides) under uncultured bacterium. RNAcentral describes it as "partial 16S ribosomal RNA". It matches the Rfam family "Bacterial small subunit ribosomal RNA", at positions 524 to 776 of the family's 1533-position model. The record is from RNAcentral.
UACGGAGGGGGCUAGCGUUGUUCGGAAUUACUGGGCGUAAAGCGCGCGCAGGCGGUCUUCCAAGUCAGUGGUGAAAGCCCGGAGCUCAACUCCGGAACUGCCAUUGAAACUGUAAGACUUGAGGAUGAGAGAGGUGAGUGGAAUUCCCAGUGUAGAGGUGAAAUUCGUAGAUAUUCGGAAGAACACCAGUGGCGAAGGCGACUCACUGGCCCAUUACUGACGCUGAGGCGCGAAAGCGUGGGGAGCAAACAGG